Molecule: ribosomal RNA, 523 nt
Filed under: uncultured marine eukaryote
Lineage: Eukaryota
Description: bacterial SSU rRNA
Rfam family: Eukaryotic small subunit ribosomal RNA
Source: RNAcentral
UUAAAAAGCUCGUAGUUGGAUUUCUGUGGGGACGAGCGCCGGCCGCUACUAGUGGUUCGAGCUAGCGCUUUCCCUACAUCCUGCCGCGAACCGUGCUACCAUUAGUUUGGUGGCGCCGGGGAUCGGCUCGUUUACUUUGAGAAAAUAGAGUGUUCAAAGCAGGCCACACGCCUUGAAUAAGUUAGCAUGGAAUAAUAACUAAGGACUUCGGUUCUAUUUUGUUGGUGUUCGGGACUGAAGUAAUGAUUGAUAGGGACAGUUGGGGCGGUCCGUAUUCCAAAGCGAGAGAUGAAAUUCUUAGACCUUCGGAAGACGAACAGCUGCGAAAGCGUUCCGCAAGGAUGUUCCCUUUGAUCAAGAACGAAAGUUGGGGGAUCGAAGACAAUCAGAUACCGUCGUAGUCUCAACUAUAAACUAUACCAGCUAGGGAUCGGCCAACGUUACUUUAACCGACUUGGUCGGCACCUUAUGAGAAAUCAAAGCAUCUGGGUUCCGGGGGGAGUAUGGUCGCAAGGCUGAAACU